CCUCCCGUUCCAGUCUCAACCUGCAAACGUGUAUGGCAACAAGUGUUGGCAAGGAUGUGACAAAUUGUAGCCCCUACCCCUCCUUUCAUUGCUGGUGGGAAUAUAAAAUGGUACAGCUGCUGUGAAAAAGAGAAUGGGUUGUUGUGAGAAAGUGAACUUGACAUACAGCCUCAUCUACCUUGUCAGUAAUUCCAAAAGCUAAAACUGUCUUCGGCUGACCAAGACUUCCCACACGUGGAACCUUUACAUCCUUCCCCUACUGGGCCACAUUUCAACGUUCGAUACAGCCAAGAGUUAGUGAGUGCCUCCUAUGUGCUCUAUUUUAGGUUCCGAAGAAUACCAAGAGGGUGGGUUCUGAACACCUGCGGUUCUCAUCUGGCCCCAUAGCCUCUCACCCCUUCCUCAGGCCAGUGACAGACACCCGCUCUCUGACUCAGCACAGACACCAUCACAACUGGUCUCCUUCCUACACUUAGGGAUGUGACAGGAGGCAGUGGGACCAACUGCUGAAUGAAGGUGGACUUUAGACCCUAGGCAGCCCACCAUGGGAGUGCUGUCUGCUGUCAACUGUUGGCAUCACACCUCAGAAGCCAGCUCUAGCUUCCAGAAGGGCAUCUGAGGUGUAUGGGACAGAUCUCCCAAUGCCCGGAUGCUGGCCGCAAAUGCUAACUGAGGUAAUCGUAGGUCAAAAGUAUGUUGUUGGGUUUUCACAGUGGUGAUAGAUGGAUUGACAGGUAUAUAGUCAAAAUGAGAUUUUACAUAAAAAUCUGGUUUGCUGAUUUCUCUUGAAAAAUCUGAGGACCUUGCAACAAGUGGCCUGCACUCUGACAUGUCAAGAACUGGCUGAAGCUUGGGCUUCAAACCUUUUCCUUGGGCACAAAUUAUACUCUAGCACAUUCCCUGAAAAAAAUCACCUUAAAGGUGAUAGAUGCACUUACAAAAGAGAUCGCCUUUCUCAGGAAAAAAAAUUGUUCUUUCCUGCAAAAUGAAAAAUGCAGCAUCAGUCUAACCAGGAUCCUCUGUGCGUCUAGAAACAAACCCAAGGCAUGGCAAGCUGGGAGAAACUGAAAAAAAUUACACUAAAAUAAUAAAAAUGUUUGUGUCCUUAA
Long non-coding RNA from Leopardus geoffroyi (Geoffroy's cat), 1109 nucleotides. RefSeq lists it as uncharacterized. NCBI's taxonomy places the organism in Eukaryota, Metazoa, Chordata, Mammalia, Carnivora, Felidae. The record is from RefSeq and is a predicted model, not a curated record. The transcript has 2 exons.